GGCGGCGUAGCCUAACACAUGCAAGUCGAGCGGUCUGGCAUUUAACAUUGAGUAUUCAGAUGAAUCUGAGUAUUGAAUGUUAAAAUGUCGGAUAGCGGCGGACGGGUGAGGUAACGCGUGGGUAACCUGCCUUAUACAGGGGGAUAACACAGGGAAACUUGUGCUAAUACCGCAGUAAUAUCAUUGUAUGGCAUCAUGUGAUGAUCAAAGGAGCAAUCCGGUAUAAGAUGGACCCGCGUCCAAUUAGCUAGUUGGUGGUGUAACGGACCACCAAGGCGACGAUUGGUAGCCGAACUGAGAGGUUGAUCGGCCACAUUGGGACUGAGACACGGCCCAGACUCCUACGGGAGGCAGCAGUGGGGAAUAUUGCACAAUGGGGGAAACCCUGAUGCAGCAACGCCGCGUGAAGGAUGAAAGGUUUUCGGAUCGUAAACUUCUUUGAUGAGGGACGAAUAAUGACGGUACCUCAAGAACAAGCCACGGCUAACUACGUG
This 494-nucleotide ribosomal RNA is filed under the name uncultured bacterium. RNAcentral's name for it is "bacterial SSU rRNA". It matches the Rfam family "Bacterial small subunit ribosomal RNA", at positions 38 to 507 of the family's 1533-position model. The record is from RNAcentral.